Molecule: ribosomal RNA, 253 nt
Filed under: uncultured bacterium
Lineage: Bacteria
Description: partial 16S ribosomal RNA
Rfam family: Bacterial small subunit ribosomal RNA
Source: RNAcentral
UACGAAGGGGGCUAGCGUUGCUCGGAAUCACUGGGCGUAAAGCGCACGUAGGCGGAUCUUUAAGUCAGGGGUGAAAUCCCAAGGCUCAACCUUGGAACUGCCUUUGAUACUGGGGAUCUCGAGUCCGGAAGAGGUGAGUGGAACUGCGAGUGUAGAGGUGGAAUUCGUAGAUAUUAGGAAGAACACCAGUGGCGAAGGCGGCUUACUGGUCCGGUACUGACGCUGAGGUGCGAAAGCGUGGGGAGCAAACAGG